UCCCGCCUGCAGCCCCAGGUCCCAGCGCGCACGCGCGCCGCCGCCCGCCCACCGCGGCCAUUGGCUCUGCAUUCUUCCUGCCACGCCUUCCCCGGAGCGGCCUCACGCACGCUCGCUGGGGUCUCCCUUCCUCCCAACAACAACUACUUCGAUACUAUUGGUUAGUUCUGACCCCACCCCUUCAGGUUCCUCCGCGCCGAUAGGUUUGUCUCAGUGUCACUCACUUCCCUAGAGGGUUUAUGGUUCUUCUGGAUGAGCCCGGGCCAACGAUUGGUUGAUGAUGAAAGGUUUGGUUUGAAGCUGUUACUUUGCACCCCGCAGUGCGGACCCCUCAGGGCCGUCUCGCAGGGUGGGUGGGUUCGUGACGCGGUGUCCAGGCCGGGAUUACUAGAACAGUGCCCUGGAGAUAAGGGCUUCUUCGCCUCUGGAAAAAUCUUGGGAUUCUGUGCUUCUGAAUUCAGGAACGGCCUCUGCAUGUGCUCUGAGCACUUCUGGUUCCAUUUCAUUGUGUCCAAGGGAGUAUUUCUGGAAGGAUACAAGGAUCUGUUUACACUGGUCAUCUCCACGGAGACCUGAGAGGGAGGUGGAGAACAGCAGUAAGUCUAAGAGCUCUUUUUACUCUAUGCCCCUUUGGAACGUUUGAAUUUUGAACUACGUGAACAUAUUACCUUUUUUUUAGUGAAAGAAAAACUAAACUUAAAUAACAAACCGAACUGAAAGCUGACUGCACUUGUCACAAUAAAUACCUUUAACUUCUUUUUCUUACGAAAUAAAGGUCCCACAAUAGUCAGUACCUCCGGGAGUAUAACCAGCACCUGAAAUGUCCCUGGUUGAUGAUAAGAAUUCCUGGCACAUGAGAUGGGGGAGCAGCAGCUUCCAUUCCUGAUGUGGCAUGGCCUCAGAUACUGCAGAGCAGGACUUCCCACCGUGCGCUGUGCUUCCCUGCAGCUCCCCAGGUCUCUUUCCCGGUUUCUGCCCUCCUCUCCUUUGCUGGUAAUUAAAGAAGGGGCAGAGAUGCCAAUAGGCCUGCUUCUCUCCUGUUUCCAGUCCCUUUUGUCCACCUUUGGCAGGGGUGUCUCCCUUAGAGAGUCAACCCAGCUCAUUAUAGAGGCUCAGUGAAAACCCAGGGUGACCUUGACUCAAGUCAGAGACACAGUUUUCAAAUACAGGGCUUUACAGAUUUCUGCAGCUCUGCCCCGGCUCUUUGCAGCUUCGCUUGCUGCUCAUACCCUGCGUGACUUACACACAGACUAUCUUAUUUCUGUACACACCCUGCUCCUUCAUGGUGGCAACCUUUCCUUUUCCCAGGGUACAUCGCACACAGGAUUGGAGCUCAUCUGAUACUGAAAAUACCAUCUCCAAGCCCAGUUAUAGAGCUUCUUCCCUUUACCAGUCAUAAACUCAGAAAGAAAUGUUCACUGAAAUCCCUAUAUAAUCUGGCCCUGGCCCCUGUGGCUCAGUUGGUUGGGCGUCACCCCAACCAAAGCAGAAGGCCACUGGUUUGA
Phyllostomus discolor (pale spear-nosed bat) is the source of this 1505-nucleotide long non-coding RNA. RefSeq lists it as uncharacterized. The transcript is spliced from 3 exons. Lineage: Eukaryota; Metazoa; Chordata; Mammalia; Chiroptera; Phyllostomidae. The record is from RefSeq and is a predicted model, not a curated record.